RNAcentral lists this ribosomal RNA (465 nucleotides) under Vreelandella stevensii. Its description in RNAcentral is "partial 16S ribosomal RNA". It matches the Rfam family "Bacterial small subunit ribosomal RNA", at positions 338 to 795 of the family's 1533-position model. Lineage: Bacteria; Pseudomonadati; Pseudomonadota; Gammaproteobacteria; Oceanospirillales; Halomonadaceae. The record is from RNAcentral.
CCUACGGGUGGCUGCAGUGGGGAAUAUUGGACAAUGGGGGCAACCCUGAUCCAGCCAUGCCGCGUGUGUGAAGAAGGCCCUCGGGUUGUAAAGCACUUUCAGUGAGGAAGAACGCCUGGUGGUUAAUACCCAUCAGGAAAGACAUCACUCACAGAAGAAGCACCGGCUAACUCCGUGCCAGCAGCCGCGGUAAUACGGAGGGUGCGAGCGUUAAUCGGAAUUACUGGGCGUAAAGCGCGCGUAGGUGGCUUGAUAAGCCGGUUGUGAAAGCCCCGGGCUCAACCUGGGAACGGCAUCCGGAACUGUCAAGCUCGAGUGCAGGAGAGGAAGGUAGAAUUCCCGGUGUAGCGGUGAAAUGCGUAGAGAUCGGGAGGAAUACCAGUGGCGAAGGCGGCCUUCUGGACUGACACUGACACUGAGGUGCGAAAGCGUGGGUAGCAAACAGGAUUAGAUACCCUUGUAGUC